UACGUAGGUGACAAGCGUUGUCCGGAUUUACUGGGCGUAAAGAGCGCGCAGGCGGUCGUUCAAGUCGAGUGUGAAAGCCCCCGGCUCAACUGGGGAGGGUCACUCGAUACUGGUCGACUCGAAGGCAGGAGAGGGUAGUGGAAUUCCCGGUGUAGUGGUGAAAUGCGUAGAUAUCGGGAGGAACACCAGUGGCGAAGGCGACUACCUGGCCUGUUCUUGACGCUGAGGCGCGAAAGCUAGGGGAGCAAACGGG
Molecule: ribosomal RNA, 253 nt
Filed under: uncultured bacterium
Lineage: Bacteria
Description: partial 16S ribosomal RNA
Rfam family: Bacterial small subunit ribosomal RNA
Source: RNAcentral